Non-coding RNA from Mycena metata, 93 nucleotides. Lineage: Eukaryota; Fungi; Basidiomycota; Agaricomycetes; Agaricales; Mycenaceae. The record is from the annotation of a GenBank genome assembly.
CACCCGGUCGCACACGGCGUGCACCUGCCCAGCAUGUGAGAGGUCGAAUGGAAUUGCUGCAGGAGGUUCCUCGUUCGACUCGGGGUCGGGUGA